UGGGGAAUUUUGGACGAAUUGGGCGAAAGCCUGAUCCAGCAAUGCCGCGUGUGUGAAGAAGGCCUUCGGGUUGUAAAGCACUUUUGUCCGGAAAGAAAUCCUUGGCUCUAAUACAGUCGGGGGAGUGACGGUACCGGAAGAAUAAGCACCGGCUAACUACGUGCCAGCAGCCGCGGUAAUACGUAGGGUGCAAGCGUUAAUCGGAAUUACUGGGCGUAAAGCGUGCGCAGGCGGUUUGCUAAGACCGAUGUGAAAUCCCCGGGCUCAACCUGGGAACUGCAUUGGUGACUGGCAGGCUAGAGUAUGGCAGAGGGGGGUGAGAAUUCCACGUGUAGCAGUGAAAUGCGUAGAGAUGUGGAGGAAUACCGAUGGCGAAGGCAGCCCCUGGCAAGUACUGACGCUCAUGCACGAAAGCGUGGGAGCAAACAGGAUUAGAUACCCUGGUAGUCCACGCUGUAAACGAUGUCGAUUUUGG
RNAcentral lists this ribosomal RNA (475 nucleotides) under uncultured bacterium. RNAcentral describes it as "partial 16S ribosomal RNA". It matches the Rfam family "Bacterial small subunit ribosomal RNA", at positions 355 to 821 of the family's 1533-position model. The record is from RNAcentral.